AACGAACGCUGGCGGCAUGCCUAACACAUGCAAGUCGAACGAGACCUUCGGGUCUAGUGGCGCACGGGUGCGUAACGCGUGGGAAUCUGCCCUUGGGUUCGGAAUAACAGUUAGAAAUGACUGCUAAUACCGGAUAAUGUCUUCGGACCAAAGAUUUAUCGCCCAGGGAUGAGCCCCGCGUAGGAUUAGCUAGUUGGUGAGGUAAAGGCUCACCAAGGCGACGAUCCUUAGCUGGUCUGAGAGGAUGAUCAGCCACACUGGGACUGAGACACGGCCCAGACUCCUACGGGAGGCAGCAGUGGGGAAUAUUGGACAAUGGGCGAAAGCCUGAUCCAGCAAUGCCGCGUGAGUGAUGAAGGCCUUAGGGUUGUAAAGCUCUUUUACCCGGGAUGAUAAUGACAGUACCGGGAGAAUAAGCCCCGGCUAACUCCGUGCCAGCAGCCGCGGUAAU
Molecule: ribosomal RNA, 451 nt
Filed under: uncultured bacterium
Lineage: Bacteria
Description: bacterial SSU rRNA
Rfam family: Bacterial small subunit ribosomal RNA
Source: RNAcentral